This 234-nucleotide ribosomal RNA is filed under the name uncultured bacterium. Its description in RNAcentral is "partial 16S ribosomal RNA". It matches the Rfam family "Bacterial small subunit ribosomal RNA", at positions 83 to 334 of the family's 1533-position model. The record is from RNAcentral.
CCUUCGGGUCUAGUGGCGCACGGGUGCGUAACGCGUGGGAAUCUGCCCUUAGGUACGGAAUAACAGUGAGAAAUUACUGCUAAUACCGUAUGAUGUCUUCGGACCAAAGAUUUAUCGCCUAGGGAUGAGCCCGCGUUGGAUUAGCUAGUUGGUGGGGUAAAGGCCUACCAGGGCGACGAUCGUUAGCUGGUUUGAGAGGAUGAUCAGCCACAUUGGGACUGAGACACGGCCCAA